GACGAACGCUGGCGGCGUGCCUAAUACAUGCAAGUAGAACGCACAGUUUAUACCUUAGCUUGCUACACCAUAGACUGUGAGUUGCGAACGGGUGAGUUACGCGUAGGUAACCUGCCUGGUAGCUGGGGAUAACUAUUGGAAACGCUAGCUAAUACCGCAUGAUAUUGAUUAUUGCAUGAUAAUUGAUUGAAAGAUGCUAUUGCAUCACUACCAGUUGGACCUGCGUUGUAUUAGCUAGUAGGUGAGGUAACGGCUCACCUAGGCGACGAUACAUAGCCGACAGGAGAGGGUGGUCGGCCACACUGGGACUGAGACACGGCACAGAGUCAUACGGGAAGCAGCAGUAGGGAAACGUCGGCAAUGGACGAAAGUCAGACCGAGAAACGCCGCGGGAGUGAAGAAGGAUGUCGGAUCGUAAAGCUCUGUUGUAAGAGAAGAACGGGUGUGAGAGUGGAAAGUUCACACUGUGACGGUAUCUUACCAGAAAGGGACGGCUAACUACGUG
RNAcentral lists this ribosomal RNA (505 nucleotides) under uncultured bacterium. RNAcentral's name for it is "partial 16S ribosomal RNA". It matches the Rfam family "Bacterial small subunit ribosomal RNA", at positions 28 to 507 of the family's 1533-position model. The record is from RNAcentral.